Molecule: ribosomal RNA, 468 nt
Filed under: uncultured bacterium
Lineage: Bacteria
Description: partial 16S ribosomal RNA
Rfam family: Bacterial small subunit ribosomal RNA
Source: RNAcentral
GACGAACGCUGGCGGCGUGCUUAACACAUGCAAGUCGAACGGAAAGGCCCUGCUUUUGUGGGGUGCUCGAGUGGCGAACGGGUGAGUAACACGUGAGUAACCUGCCCUUGACUUUGGGAUAACUUCAGGAAACUGGGGCUAAUACCGGCUAGGAGCUCCUGCUGCAUGGUGGGGGUUGGAAAGUUUCGGCGGUUGGGGAUGGACUCGCGGCUUAUCAGCUUGUUGGUGGGGUAGUGGCUUACCAAGGCUUUGACGGGUAGCCGGCCUGAGAGGGUGACCGGCGACAUUGGGUCUGGGAUUCCGCCCAGACUCCUACGGGAGGCAGCAGUGGGGAAUAUUGCACAAGGGGCGGAAGCCUGAUGCAGCAACGCCGCGUGCGGGAUGACGGCCUUCGGGUUGUAAACCGCUUUCGCCUGUGACGAAGCGUGAGUGACGGUAAUGGGUAAAGAAGCACCGGCUAACUACGUG